RNAcentral lists this ribosomal RNA (484 nucleotides) under uncultured bacterium. RNAcentral describes it as "partial 16S ribosomal RNA". It matches the Rfam family "Bacterial small subunit ribosomal RNA", at positions 30 to 506 of the family's 1533-position model. The record is from RNAcentral.
UUGAACGCUGGCGGCAUGCCUUACACAUGCAAGUCGAACGGCAGCACGGGUGCUUGCACCUGGUGGCGAGUGGCGAACGGGUGAGUAAUACAUCGGAACAUGUCCUGUAGUGGGGGAUAGCCCGGCGAAAGCCGGAUUAAUACCGCAUACGAUCUACGGAUGAAAGCGGGGGACCUUCGGGCCUCGCGCUAUAGGGUUGGCCGAUGGCUGAUUAGCUAGUUGGUGGGGUAAAGGCCUACCAAGGCGACGAUCAGUAGCUGGUCUGAGAGGACGACCAGCCACACUGGGACUGAGACACGGCCCAGACUCCUACGGGAGGCAGCAGUGGGGAAUUUUGGACAAUGGGCGAAAGCCUGAUCCAGCAAUGCCGCGUGUGUGAAGAAGGCCUUCGGGUUGUAAAGCACUUUUGUCCGGAAAGAAAUCCUUGGCCCUAAUACGGUCGGGGGAUGACGGUACCGGAAGAAUAAGCACCGGCUAACUACGU